RNAcentral lists this long non-coding RNA (200 nucleotides) under Nicotiana benthamiana. RNAcentral describes it as "long non-coding RNA (NBEN_LNC013164)". The record is from RNAcentral. Lineage: Eukaryota; Viridiplantae; Streptophyta; Magnoliopsida; Solanales; Solanaceae.
AAGUAUAAUCGAUUAUUUCCCGAGUCAGAAAAUCACUGUGCACUCUGUGUCAGAAUAAUCGAUUACCAUAAUUCAAUAAUCGAUUAUCCUCAAUCAGUAUUUCAAAAUUGUUACCAUUUCUAACCGUUUUGUCUCUAAAAUUUCUGCAGAUUUUCAUCUUCAAUGCAAUGCCAUCCUUCUCAUUAUAAAUAGGUGCUAUA